Hibiscus syriacus is the source of this 477-nucleotide long non-coding RNA. RefSeq lists it as uncharacterized. The record is from RefSeq and is a predicted model, not a curated record. NCBI's taxonomy places the organism in Eukaryota, Viridiplantae, Streptophyta, Magnoliopsida, Malvales, Malvaceae. The transcript has 3 exons.
UCAUACCUCUAAUCCAAAGCUCCCAACACAAAGUGUGAGUUUUGUUCGAGUGAUUGAUUUAACUUCCCCAAAUUUCGAUUUAUUAUUAUUAUUAUUAUUUCCGAAACUGCAGGUUUAGUUUUCCAGAAGCAGCCCCUUUUAAAGCCAUCUUGAAAUUCAGAGCCCCUCCCCAAAAUCAUCAAUGGUUUUAACUGGCUUAGAUUAGCAUUUUUGGAGGGAAAAAUAAGAAUUUUGAAUAUAGUGAUGAUUUAGACAGAAUUCCCAGGAGCCCUGUCAUGCAAAUCUCCCACCUUUCGUCUCUUGCCCGUCAACUACGAGUCACUUGAUCACACUUUUGUUACAUGCACGGGACUAGCGGGGCUGCUCGGCUGCAUUAAAUUAGAUUUUGGUGUCUGCAAUCUUGGCGCCUCUUUGCUUUGUGCUAUUUUCAGGCCUAAUAGUCUUGCGCAUUUCCUUGAAAAUCCUCAGAAAUUAUCU